AACGAACGCUGGCGGCAUGCCUAACACAUGCAAGUCGAACGAAGGCUUCGGCCUUAGUGGCGCACGGGUGCGUAACGCGUGGGAAUCUGCCCUUGGGUUCGGAAUAACAGUUAGAAUGACUGCUAAUACCGGAUGAUGUCGUAAGACCAAAGAUUUACCGCCCAGGGAUGAGCCCGCGUAAGAUUAGGUAGUUGGUGGGGUAAAGGCCUACCAAGCCGACGAUCUUUAGCUGGUCUGAGAGGAUGAUCAGCCACACUGGGACUGAGACACGGCCCAGACUCCUACGGGAGGCAGCAGUGGGGAAUAUUGGACAAUGGGCGAAAGCCUGAUCCAGCAAUGCCGCGUGAGUGAUGAAGGCCUUAGGGUUGUAAAGCUCUUUUACCAGGGAUGAUAAUGACAGUACCUGGAGAAUAAGCUCCGGCUAACUCCGUGCCAGCAGCCGCGGUAAU
RNAcentral lists this ribosomal RNA (449 nucleotides) under uncultured bacterium. RNAcentral describes it as "bacterial SSU rRNA". It matches the Rfam family "Bacterial small subunit ribosomal RNA", at positions 29 to 524 of the family's 1533-position model. The record is from RNAcentral.